Pygocentrus nattereri (red-bellied piranha) is the source of this 363-nucleotide long non-coding RNA. RefSeq lists it as uncharacterized. Lineage: Eukaryota; Metazoa; Chordata; Actinopteri; Characiformes; Serrasalmidae. The transcript has 3 exons. The record is from RefSeq and is a predicted model, not a curated record.
AGUUCACCCAAUGUCAAAACAAAAGUCCACUGCUAAGUUUUUCGAAAAAAACAAAAAACAAAAACAAGACUCACAAACUACUCAGCGUCGGCGCGCUUGUCAUAUAACCCUGCAGUGGAGAGACUUUUCUCAACGACAUAUCGGAUAAAAACAUAACCGAGACCCUCAAUAUCAUCAUCUCACCUGACCAAAUGUAGUUCUUUGAACGGGAAUUAACGCGUUAAUUCACUGGACUACGAUGAAAUGAUCUUCAACAGUGAGCCCCACAGUCUACGCCAGUCCUGUAGGCCUAAUUAUGGAUUAAAAUCCCCCCAGGAGGACAUCAAAGUGCCCUGCGAUGGACUGGCGACCUGUCCAGGGUGU